RNAcentral lists this ribosomal RNA (460 nucleotides) under uncultured bacterium. RNAcentral describes it as "partial 16S ribosomal RNA". It matches the Rfam family "Bacterial small subunit ribosomal RNA", at positions 338 to 795 of the family's 1533-position model. The record is from RNAcentral.
CCUACGGGUGGCAGCAGUGAGGAAUAUUGGUCAAUGGACGAGAGUCUGAACCAGCCAAGUCGCGUGAAGGAUGACUGCCCUAUGGGUUGUAAACUUCUUUUAUAUGGGAAUAAAAUGUUCCACGUGUGGGAUUUUGUAUGUACCAUAUGAAUAAGCAUCGGCUAACUCCGUGCCAGCAGCCGCGGUAAUACGGAGGAUCCGAUCGUUAUCCGGAUUUAUUGGGUUUAAUGGGAGCGUAGGUGGAUUGUUAAGUCAGUUGUGAACGUUUGCGGCUCAACCGUAAAAUUGCAGUUGAAACUGGCAGUCUUGAGUACAGUAGAGGUGGACGGAAUUCGUGGUGUAGCGGUGGAAUGCGUAGAUAUCACGAAGAACUCCGAUGGCGAAGGCAGCUCACUGGACUGCAACUGACACUGAGGCUCGAAAGUGUGGGUAUCAAACAGGAUUAGAUACCCUAGUAGUC